UACGAAGGGGGCUAGCGUUGUUCGGAAUUACUGGGCGUAAAGCGCGCGCAGGCGGUUUUCCAAGUCAGUGGUGAAAGCCCGGAGCUCAACUCCGGAAAUGCCAUUGAAACUGUAAAACUUGAGGACGAGAGAGGUGAGUGGAAUUCCCAGUGUAGAGGUGAAAUUCGUAGAUAUUGGGAAGAACACCGGUGGCGAAGGCGGCUCACUGGCUCGUUUUCUGACGCUCAGGCGCGAUAGCGUGGGGAUCAAACAGG
This 254-nucleotide ribosomal RNA is filed under the name uncultured bacterium. RNAcentral's name for it is "partial 16S ribosomal RNA". It matches the Rfam family "Bacterial small subunit ribosomal RNA", at positions 524 to 776 of the family's 1533-position model. The record is from RNAcentral.